RNAcentral lists this ribosomal RNA (496 nucleotides) under uncultured bacterium. Its description in RNAcentral is "partial 16S ribosomal RNA". It matches the Rfam family "Bacterial small subunit ribosomal RNA", at positions 28 to 506 of the family's 1533-position model. The record is from RNAcentral.
GAUGAACGCUGGCGGCGUGCCUAAUACAUGCCAGUCGAGCGAACAGAUGAGGAGCUUGCUCCUCUGACGUUAGCGGCGGACGGGUGAGUAACACGUGGAUAACCUACCUAUAAGACUGGGAUAACUUCGGGAAACCGGAGCUAAUACCGGAUAAUAUAUUGAACCGCAUGGUUCAAUAGUGAAAGACGGUUUUGCUGUCACUUAUAGAUGGAUCCGCGCCGCAUUAGCUAGUUGGUAAGGUAACGGCUUACCAAGGCGACGAUGCGUAGCCGACCUGAGAGGGUGAUCGGCCACACUGGAACUGAGACACGGUCCAGACUCCUACGGGAGGCAGCAGUAGGGAAUCUUCCGCAAUGGGCGAAAGCCUGACGGAGCAACGCCGCGUGAGUGAUGAAGGUCUUCGGAUCGUAAAACUCUGUUAUUAGGGAAGAACAAAUGUGUAAGUAACUAUGCACGUCUUGACGGUACCUAAUCAGAAAGCCACGGCUAACUACGU